AUGUUGGGGCCUGUAGUCUUUCUAAACCCCCAAUCCUGAAUCGGCAGGAUUCUACCCCCUUCCCUGGCACGCGGUGCCCAAACAGGCAGUGAGCUAGCUGUUUAUUAAUGUUGGUGGCAGACUUUCAGGUACCACAGAGGAGAUUCAGCUAGACUGUGAAGAAACCUACUUGUAUCUGGAAGCCAGGAAUACCGGGGAGAAGCCGAUCAAGUUCACAAGAGGUGGAAUUCUUCACAGUUCAAUUCACCUCUAUUUCAUCAAUAAUUUUGGAGCAGCUGCUGGGGAAGGCAGGUGAGAAGU
This is a long non-coding RNA of Ailuropoda melanoleuca (giant panda), 300 nucleotides long. The record is from Ensembl. NCBI's taxonomy places the organism in Eukaryota, Metazoa, Chordata, Mammalia, Carnivora, Ursidae.